RNAcentral lists this unclassified non-coding RNA (165 nucleotides) under Apiotrichum otae. RNAcentral's name for it is "partial internal transcribed spacer 2". The record is from RNAcentral. Lineage: Eukaryota; Fungi; Basidiomycota; Tremellomycetes; Trichosporonales; Trichosporonaceae.
AAUCUCAACCAUUAGGGUUUCUUAAUGGCUUGGAUUUGGAUGUUGGCAGUUUACUGCCUCAUCUUAAAAGAGUUAGCAAGUUAACUAUUGCUGUCUGGCGUAAUAAGUUUCGCUGGUAAGGCAUUGUGAAGCGUGCUUCUAAUCGUCUUCGGACAAUUACUUUGA